CCACGGGCGGCACCAGUGGGGAAUAUUGCACAAUGGGCGCAAGCCUGAUGCAGCCAUGCCGCGUGUAUGAAGAAGGCCUUCGGGUUGUAAAGUACUUUCAGCGGGGAGGAAGGGAGUAAAGUUAAUACCUUUGCUCAUUGACGUUACCCGCAGAAGAAGCACCGGCUAACUCCGUGGCCAGCAGCCGCGGUAAUACGGAGGGUGCAAGCGUUAAUCGGAAUUACUGGGCGUAAAGCGCACGCAGGCGGUUUGUUAAGUCAGAUGUGAAAGCCCCGGGCUCAACCUGGGAACUGCAUCUGAUACUGGCAAGCUUGAGUCUCGUAGAGGGGGGUAGAAUUCCAGGUGUAGCGGUGAAAUGCGUAGAGAUCUGGAGGAAUACCGGUGGCGAAGGCGGCCCCCUGGACGAAGACUGACGCUCAGGUGCGAAAGCGUGGGGAGCAAACAGGAUUAGAUACCCCCGUAGUC
Molecule: ribosomal RNA, 465 nt
Filed under: uncultured bacterium
Lineage: Bacteria
Description: partial 16S ribosomal RNA
Rfam family: Bacterial small subunit ribosomal RNA
Source: RNAcentral